Long non-coding RNA from Capsicum annuum, 1924 nucleotides. RefSeq lists it as uncharacterized. The record is from RefSeq and is a predicted model, not a curated record. Lineage: Eukaryota; Viridiplantae; Streptophyta; Magnoliopsida; Solanales; Solanaceae. The transcript has 2 exons.
UUAAAGUCACUUUCUUUUUGUUUCUUUAGUUGUAUUGUUACUCUUGAGAUGACAUAAAUAAAGGAAAGCUUUUCCUUUUGCCUUAAAUCAUGUUUGAAUGAAAUGAUAUUCUAAAAGAAAGGGCAAGAGAUCACAGACAUGUGGCCAGGUCACGGGUUCAAGCUUGGAAAUAGUCUAUUGUAGAAAUAUAAGGUAAGGCUUCGUACAAUACACCCUUGUGGUGGGGCCGUUCCAUGGACCCUGUGCAUAGCUGGAGCUUUAGUUCACCGGCUGACCUUUUAAGAGCAGAAGAUCUUUUUGCUAUUUAAAGUCUUAAACCUACAUCAUUACUAGCCAUAUACAUAUUACUACCGAUUUAUGCAAUUAUGGAGAAAGAUUUCACCUCUUUUCUCUCAACACUUGAUGCUUCACUAUGUUAUAGUUACUUCAACCAUGACCCAAACAAACAAUGACAUUGAUCAGUUAACUCUUCUAUCUUUGAAAUUACAAAUCAUUUUAGACCCUUCUCACUUCGUGGAUGAAAGCUGGUCUCCUGCUAUUUUGUUUGUCAUUGGGUGAGAGUCACUUGUGGUUCUCGCCACUAGAGAAUGAAGUUCUUGAAUCUUUCUAACAUGGCUCUUACAGGAAGGAUUCCUCGUGAUUUUUGAAACCUCACGUUUCUUGUUUCUCUUAACCUGAGUAGAAACACUUUCCGUGGAAAUUUGCCUCAAGAAAUGGCACACUUACGUCGGCUUAAGUUUCUUGAUUUAAGUUUCAACUGCUUCAGCAGGAAGGUUCCCUCUUGGUUUGGAUUCUUACACCAACUUCAAGAUCUAAAUCUUGGGAAUAAUAGUUUCACUGGUUCCAUCCCUUCUUCAUUUUCUAAUAUUUCCACAAUUUAGACUUUAAAUCUGAAUUUCAAUUCCAUAGAGGGUCAAAUCCAAGAAGUGAUUGGAAGUCUUAUAAACCUUAGAGUAUUGAUGUUGAAAGGUAACAAGCUCAUAGGCUCUAUUCCUCUAUCACUCCCGAAUGCCUCAAGGUUGGAGACUUUGGAGAUAUCUUAUAAUUCACUUCAAGGAAACAUUCCAGAAGGGAUCAGCAAUCUUCACAGCAUGAACGGUUCUAUGCCACUACCAGUUUUCAACAUUUCUAGAAUUGAAAAUAUAGUAUUUACAGGCAAUAGCUUAUCAGGAGAUCUUCCCAAUGGUUUAUACAAUGGUCUCCCAAUACUCAAAGGGCUUUAUCUCUACAAAACAAGCUUCGCAGUCAUAUGCCUACAAGCUUAUCAAAUUGUUCACUACUUCAACUAUUUUCUUUAUCUUAUAAUGAGUUUGAUGGACCAAUACAUAGUGGAAUUGGAAGAUUGAAUAACUUGCAGUAUUUGUAUCUCGGACAUAACCAUUUCAUAGGUGAAAUACCCAAAGAGAUAAGCAAUCACACUGAGUUGGAGCUACUUGAUCUUGGGCUUAAUAGUUUUAGUGGUUCACUUCCAAUGGAGAUCUUCAACAUAUCAGGCCUGAAAGUAAAUACUCUUACAAAUAAUAAUCUAUCAGGAAGACUCCUACCAAACAUGUGUUCUAUCAUAUCCAAUACUGAAGAGCUUUAUCUAGAAAUCUUAACCAAUCUUGUUGGGACUAUCUUCAACUGUUCAAAACUUAAAAUUCUUGAGCUUUCAGGCAACAAACUCACAGGCCUUAUUCCCAAUUCUCUGGGAUAUUUGACUCAUCUAUGAUACGAGUACGAUCACGAUCAUGGACACUUUUUGGAGUAUUUUGAAGACCACCAAAAGAGUGCACAAGUCUAAGUGUGAAGGAGGCCCAAAACCGUCCCAAGCACACUCCAUGGGCUGUUUUUGGAGCCCUUUACAUUAAAGGAUCUUUUAGUCUUUAGUCUUUUAUUUUGUAAUGUAAUAUAAAUUGAACAUUGUAAGGUUUUAUUUAGUAGU